This 235-nucleotide ribosomal RNA is filed under the name uncultured bacterium. Its description in RNAcentral is "partial 16S ribosomal RNA". It matches the Rfam family "Bacterial small subunit ribosomal RNA", at positions 104 to 334 of the family's 1533-position model. The record is from RNAcentral.
CGGGGUAGAGUAACGCGUGAGGAACCUGCCUCAAAGAGGGGGACAACAGUUGGAAACGACUGCUAAUACCGCAUAAGCCCACAGCUCGGCAUCGAGCAGAGGGAAAAGGAGUGAUCCGCUUUGAGAUGGCCUCGCGUCCGAUUAGCUAGUUGGUGAGGUAACGGCUCACCAAGGCAACGAUACAUAGGGGGACUGAGAGGUUAACCCCCCACACUGGUACUGAGACACGGACCAG